UGGGGAAUUUUGGACAAUGGGGGCAACCCUGAUCCAGCCAUUCCGCGUGAGUGAAGAAGGCCUUCGGGUUGUAAAGCUCUUUUGUCAAGGAAGAAACGGUAGUAGCGAAUAACUAUUACUAAUGACGGUACCUGAAGAAUAAGCACCGGCUAACUACGUGCCAGCAGCCGCGGUAAUACGUAGGGUGCAAGCGUUAAUCGGAAUUACUGGGCGUAAAGCGUGCGCAGGCGGUUGUGUAAGUCAGAUGUGAAAUCCCCGGGCUCAACCUGGGAAUUGCAUUUGAGACUGCACGGCUAGAGUGUGUCAGAGGGGGGUAGAAUUCCACGUGUAGCAGUGAAAUGCGUAGAUAUGUGGAGGAAUACCGAUGGCGAAGGCAGCCCCCUGGGAUAACACUGACGCUCAUGCACGAAAGCGUGGGGAGCAAACAGGAUUAGAUACCCUCGUAGUCCCUGAGCGGGCUGGCAAGGCGCAU
This 472-nucleotide ribosomal RNA is filed under the name uncultured bacterium. RNAcentral describes it as "bacterial SSU rRNA". It matches the Rfam family "Bacterial small subunit ribosomal RNA", at positions 355 to 825 of the family's 1533-position model. The record is from RNAcentral.